CUCAUAGAGUAAUCUAGUAAGGAUCCAGGAAGACCACCUGGUUGAUAGGUCGCAGGUCGAAGCGCCCCGCAAGGCAAGCGCGUAGCCGAGCGAUACUAAUAAUCCGAGGGCUUAACCAA
This 119-nucleotide ribosomal RNA is filed under the name Cyanobacteria bacterium HKST-UBA01. Its description in RNAcentral is "partial 23S ribosomal RNA". It matches the Rfam family "Bacterial large subunit ribosomal RNA", at positions 2813 to 2925 of the family's 2925-position model. The record is from RNAcentral. Lineage: Bacteria; Bacillati; Cyanobacteriota.